This 117-nucleotide small RNA is filed under the name Marmota monax (woodchuck). Lineage: Eukaryota; Metazoa; Chordata; Mammalia; Rodentia; Sciuridae. The record is from RNAcentral.
GCUGGGUGUGGUGGCACAUGCCUGUAAUCCCAGCAGCUCAGGAGACUGAGACAGGAGGAUCAAAGCUAGCCUCAGCAAAAGCAAGGCGCCAAGCAACUCAGUCAGAUCCUGUCUCUA